GACGAACGCUGGCGGCGUGCUUAACACAUGCAAGUCGAGCGGAAAGGCCCUGCGGGGUACUCGAGCGGCGAACGGGUGAGUAACACGUGAGUAACCGGCCCCAGACUUUGGGAUAACCCUCGGAAACGGGGGCUAAGACCGGAAACGACACAGCUACGCAUGGGGGCUGGGUGGAAAGGUGAACGGCGUGGGCUGGGCCCGCGGCCAAUCAGCUUGUUGGUGGGGUGAUGGCCUACCAAGGCGACGGCGGGUAGCCGGCCGGGGAGGUGGACCGGCCACACUGGGACUGCGGGACGGCCCAGUCUCCUACCGGCGGCAGCAGUGGGGAGUCUUGCGCAGUGGCCGGACGCCUGAUGCAGCGGCCCCGCGUGCGUGAUGCCGGCCUUCGGGUUGUAAACCUCUUUCUGCAGGGACGUAGCGUUCGUGACGGUACCUGCAGAAGAAGCGCCGGCCAACUACGUG
This 462-nucleotide ribosomal RNA is filed under the name uncultured bacterium. Its description in RNAcentral is "partial 16S ribosomal RNA". It matches the Rfam family "Bacterial small subunit ribosomal RNA", at positions 28 to 507 of the family's 1533-position model. The record is from RNAcentral.